UACCCCGAACGGAGACCCCGGCCCGGCCGUGCGGCCUACCCCGACCCCGACCCCGACCCGGUCCUGCGACCUACCUCGAACCGAGGGCCCGGCCCGGCCUGGCCGCCCCUCCUCCCCCGCCCCGGGCCCUCUCGCCCCUCCGUACCGGGGAAGGCCGCGGGGGGGCGGAGCGGGGCUGCAGGGAACGGCGGAAUCGAUCGCAGCGCCGGAACCGGGAGGCGGAGGCCGAGGGGCUGCGGGGCUGCACCGGGGCGAACCCCCUCCCAACCCCCCCCCCCUCCGCAUCCCACCCCGCUGGGGGUGUCGGGGCGCGGGGCUGCACCCCAUGGAGGGGAAGUUCCUCCAGCCGAAGAUGGGGGCGACUUCGGGUUCACUGUAGUGGAGCAUUUUCACUUCCGAGUCGCUCAGCCCAAAGUCCCACAUGUAGACGUCGGACAUCUCCCCCGUGAAGGACUGCAGAACGUCGAAGCCUCCCCCGUAGGCGUCCUGCUCCUGCCCCAGCACCACCACGGCCUCGUUGCCCACCACGUAGCCCUUCUGCAGCCCUUUGCGGGGCCACGGGCGCCCGUUGAGCCAGAAGCGCACGAUGCCGCUGGGUGACUCCCAGGUGACGCAGACGUGCUCUGGGUCCAUAUAGUUCUCGGGGAUGUGGAAGGCGACGUAUUUCCCCCCCACGUAGAAGUGGUACUCGGUGGGUUUGAAUUUGAGGAGGAGGAUCUCGUUGUCCUGCUCCUUGGUGGCGUAGGAGAAGAGGCUGUGGGGCCGGGUGAGGUCGGUGUAGGAGCGCAGGCACACGGUGAAGUUGAGCAGGGGGUGCUCUGGCCGUGCCUGCAGCAGCACGUAGGAAUCGUUGGACGCUUGGGGGAACACGAACACUCUGUACUUCAGGUCUGGGAGAGAGAGGCUGCAGAGCCCCACGAGGAAGGAGAGGAGGCAGAAGCGUGGCGUCCCCAUGACCCCACCUCAGUGACAAUGGCAGAGGCACCGCUCCAGGGGACUUCCCAGAAGGAAGGCACUCCCACCUGAUUUUCUCCCUGGACUGCGAGGGCACUGACCCACGUGUCGCUGUGUGGACAUUGGCCCCGCAUCCCACAGGUGGACGUCCGCCAUCUCCCCCGUGAACGAGUUGUAGACGUCGAAGCCUCCCCCGUAGGCGUCCUGCUCCUGCCCCAGCAUCACCACGGCCUCGUUGCCCACCUCGUAGCCCUUCUGCAGCCCUUUGCGGGGCCACGGGCGCCCGUUGAGCCAGAACUCGGCGAUGCCGCUGCCCGACUCCCAGCUGGCGCAGACGUGUUCCCAUUCCCCGCGGUUCUCGGGGACGCGGAAGAAGGCAGUGAGGAGCAGCACGAGGGGCGCGAGGCAGCAGUGCAGCCCCCCCAGCGCCGUGCUCAGCCCCAGCGCGAAAUCAAAGCUCUCAAAGGCACUGCAGCACCGCAGCCGUCAGCAGCGCUCCGGGCAGCAGCAGAAGGACGCAGCAACACACGCCCUCAUCGUAGAUGGAGUUGAAGAGGUCCACGAGGAACGAGGAGGUUCUGUUCACCACGAUUUCAGGGCUCUGUGAAGGACAGGAGGUGCCGUGUGCUGCGGGGUGACGCUGAGUUGGCCCCUCCGGUGGCCACGUGCCGCGCUUUAUCAGGGAGGGACAGUGUGGGGAGUGCUGAUAUCUCAGGGUGUGGUUUCAUCCCAAGCCAAGAAAACCCGUUUUCUUGCACUCAGUGGUGUUUUCCAGUUCCAGGACUCGUUGCUAUGCACCCCUCCCUGGGGGGGAGGUGGUGUUGGGUACCCUAUGGGGUCAGGGUUGGGUACCCAAUGGGAGUGGGGUUG
RNAcentral lists this long non-coding RNA (1824 nucleotides) under Gallus gallus (chicken). Lineage: Eukaryota; Metazoa; Chordata; Aves; Galliformes; Phasianidae. The record is from RNAcentral.